GUUUGCACAGAGGAAUGAUGGGUUGGGUGGUGCCAUACUGAAAUGGACUUUCCAGUACAUGAAUCUAGUAGAUAUUCAGCCCAAUUCCUGCUUGAUUACCCUCUAAAAAGUCCUUAAAUGGCACAUUUUGAGGAAAAUAACGCCGGUUGUAACUGUUAUGAUGGCACUAGCGGUUUCAGCGUUUUAUUGCAAGCGAUAAGACAACGGUCCGGUCCGGUCCAAGUUCAAACAGGACCGGACCCGGUUUUCCUGCGCCUCCUGGACCUCCUUUUCCCCCUCCUCCUUUUAUUAUUAUUUAUUUGGUUUUCGUGAUUUCGGGAAUUUUAAACCCCAGCCUUCAGCUAGGGUUCGAUUUCCCCGAGCAAAGCAUCCAAGAAGCCCUUGAUCCCGUAUUUCGACCGCUCAAAGAUCCUUCUUUGUCUCGCCAAAAGAAGAAGGCUCGAUCCUUUCCAAGAUGACUGAGUACUGGGUGAGUCAGGGAAACAAAUGGUGCGACUUCUGCAAGAUCUAUAUAUCCAACAAUCCCUUGACCAUCAGAACCCAUGAACUUGGUCAACGCCACAAGGACAAUGUUGCUAAGAGGCUGGCUUCUAUGAGAAAGGAAAAUGCUGCCAGGGAGAAGGAACAGAAAGAAGCUGCCCGAGCGCUUGAGCAAAUAGAAGCUAAAGCUAAACGCAGUUAUCAGAAGGAUUUAGCAACUUUCAAGGAAGCUGCGAAAUCCAGUAGCCAUGCAUUAGAGUCCAAUGAUGCCACAUGUUCAGCGGCAAAUAGAGAUGAGUGGGAGUAUGAUGCUGCUUCAGGAUAUUACUACAGCCAGGCUAAUGGGUUUCACUAUGAUCCGAACUCAGGUUUAUAUUAUUCUAGUAAUUUAGGCAAGUGGGUUCCACAGGAAGAGGCAUUUAAAUCUUCUCAAGUUUCAAGACCUGAUAUCGGCCAUUUAUCAGAAUCUAAAAAUGACAAACUUAUUUCAAAGACAUCACAGACUAAAUCUGUUGCUGAAGAUGGUGCUGCUUCCAAAUAUAAAGGUGGCCCAGCUCCAGGACUGGUCAUGUCAACAUCUCUAAAUCCUAUGCGAACCGUUAAAGGUGCUCCAUCAUCAAUUGCUGUUAAUAAGAGAAAACGAGAGGACGGGAAAACAAAGGUGAUGACCAAAGAGGAAGAAGCUGCUCUUAAAGCAAGGGAGGCUGCAAGAAAGAGAGUGGAGCAGAGGGAGGCACCAUUAAUGGGCCUCUAUAGGUCAUACUGAUUUGCUGGAGCAGGAAAAAACCUGUUAAUGCUUAUUUGAGCGAAUUGAAGGUACUGUGAACCAUGGUUGGCCAACCACACCAUAUAACACCACUAUGACAAAGGAUAUGGAUCACCAUUUGCCUUGGUGCAGCCAAUUAGUGCCGGUACAGCAUAUUUUGACAUCCAUUUUUGUUUAUCUUGUCUUUUAUUUUUUCAAUGUUAUUGUUUUGCCAAGUAUAUUGGAUUAUUGACUUAGAUGCCAUGGUCACGGAUGAAUAGGCUGUCAAUGGGCAUUCUUCAUCUACCUUGUUGUCGGCACAAGGUAAUCACCAUGCACGAAUGAAGCAUACAAUAAUUUGAUGCAUCCGUACGGUAGAUUGCUUUUUAUGGAUG
Molecule: RNA transcript, 1620 nt
Organism: Elaeis guineensis (African oil palm)
Lineage: Eukaryota; Viridiplantae; Streptophyta; Magnoliopsida; Arecales; Arecaceae
Gene name: zinc finger protein ZOP1
Source: RefSeq, a predicted model, not a curated record